This 505-nucleotide ribosomal RNA is filed under the name uncultured bacterium. RNAcentral describes it as "bacterial SSU rRNA". It matches the Rfam family "Bacterial small subunit ribosomal RNA", at positions 353 to 874 of the family's 1533-position model. The record is from RNAcentral.
AGUAGGGAAUAUUAGAAAUGGACGAAAGUCUGAUCUAGCAACACCGCGUGUGCGAAGAAGGCCUUCGGGUUGUAAAGCACUUUUUGGAAGGAUUAGGAAGGAAUGUACUUCCAGAAUAAGUCUCGGCUAACUACGUGCCAGCAGCCGCGGUAACACGUAGGAGGCAAACGUUAUCCGGAUUUACUGGGCGUAAAGCGCGUGUAGGUGGUUCUGUAAGUAGGGCGUGAAAGCUCCUGGCUCAACUGGGAGAGGCCGUUCUAAACUGCAGAGCUAGAGGAUGGUAGAGGGAGGUGGAAUUCCGGGUGUAGCGGUGGAAUGCGCAGAUAUCCGGAGGAACACCAGUGGCGAAAGCGGCCUCCUGGACCAUUCCUGACACUCAGACGCGAAAGCUAGGGUAGCAAACGGGAUUAGAGACCCCGGUAGUCCUAGCCCUAAACGAUGUAGACUUGGCGUCGGUGGCUUAAUCGUCAUCGGUGUCGUAGCUAACGCGAUAAGUCUACCGCCU